GACGAACGCUGGCGGUAUGCUUAACACAUGCAAGUCGAACGAGACGGGAUGGAAGGAGCCUUCGGGUGACGGAAAUCCUAGAAAGUGGCGAACGGGUGAGUAACGCGUGGGUAACCUGCCCUAUGGAAUGGAAUAGCCUCGGGAGACUGGGAGUAAUGCCUUAUAAUAUACAGAAGUCGCAUGGCUUUUGUAUUAAACGCUCCGGUGCCAUGGGCUGGACCCGCGUCCCAUUAGCUAGUUGGGGAGAUCACAGCCCACCAAGGCGACGAUGGGUAACCGGUCUGAGUGGGCGAACGGAAACACUGGAACUAAGGCCAUGUCCAACCUCCUACAGGAAGAAGCAGUGGGGAAUAUUGCGCAAUGGGAGAGACCCUGACGCAGAAAUACCGCGUGAGUUAAGAAGGUUUUGGGAUCGUAAAGCUCUGUUAUUGAGGAAGAAAAAAGACGGUACCCAAGAAGAAAGCCCCGGCGAACUACGUGCCAGCAGCCGCCGUAA
Molecule: ribosomal RNA, 496 nt
Filed under: uncultured bacterium
Lineage: Bacteria
Description: partial 16S ribosomal RNA
Rfam family: Bacterial small subunit ribosomal RNA
Source: RNAcentral